RNAcentral lists this transfer-messenger RNA (137 nucleotides) under Roseinatronobacter sp. Its description in RNAcentral is "partial transfer-messenger RNA". It matches the Rfam family "Alphaproteobacteria transfer-messenger RNA", at positions 1 to 138 of the family's 355-position model. From Rfam's summary of the family: Bacterial tmRNA, also known as 10Sa RNA or SsrA, is named for its dual tRNA and mRNA-like properties. Its role is to liberate the mRNA from a stalled ribosome. To accomplish this part of the tmRNA is used as a reading frame that ends in a translation stop signal. Lineage: Bacteria; Pseudomonadati; Pseudomonadota; Alphaproteobacteria; Rhodobacterales; Paracoccaceae. The record is from RNAcentral.
CCCCUUGCAUCCGCCCACGUCACCCCCUACAUCUGAGGUGUCUCGCAAGGGACUAUGGACAUAAACGCGCUCGUAAUACGCGGAUCGGACCCGGGGGCGGUACCCGGCGGCUCCACCAAACAUCCUUCAUUUGGGGA